GGAUGGAUGUCUGAGCGGUUGAAAGAGUCGGUCUUGAAAACCAAAGUAUUGAUAGGAAUACCGGGGGUUCAAAUCCCUCUCCAUCCG
RNAcentral lists this transfer RNA (87 nucleotides) under Triticum aestivum (bread wheat). It matches the Rfam family "tRNA". Rfam says of the family: Transfer RNA (tRNA) molecules are approximately 80 nucleotides in length. Their secondary structure includes four short double-helical elements and three loops (D, anti-codon, and T loops). The record is from Rfam by way of RNAcentral. Lineage: Eukaryota; Viridiplantae; Streptophyta; Magnoliopsida; Poales; Poaceae.